RNAcentral lists this ribosomal RNA (472 nucleotides) under uncultured Sphingobacteriales bacterium. RNAcentral's name for it is "bacterial SSU rRNA". It matches the Rfam family "Bacterial small subunit ribosomal RNA", at positions 906 to 1382 of the family's 1533-position model. The record is from RNAcentral. Lineage: Bacteria; Pseudomonadati; Bacteroidota; Sphingobacteriia; Sphingobacteriales.
GGAAUUGACGGGGCCGCACAAGCGAGGAGCAUGUGGUUAAUUCGAUGAUACGCGAGGAACCUUACCUGGGCUCGAACGUAAGAUGACUGUAGGUGAAAGCUUACAUCUCUUCGGAGCAUUUUACGAGGUGCUGCAUGGUUGUCGUCAGCUCGUGCCGUGAGGUGUCGGGUUAAGUCCCAUAACGAGCGCAACCCCUACCUUUAGUUGCCAUCAGGUUAAGCUGGGGACUCUAAAGGAACUGCCUACGCAAGUAGUGAGGAAGGCGGGGAUGACGUCAAAUCAGCACGGCCCUUACGUCCAGGGCUACACACGUGCUACAAUGGCCGAUACAGAGGGCAGCUACCUGGUGACAGGAUGCAAAUCUCCAAAGUCGGUCUCAGUUCGGAUCGGAGUCUGCAACCCGACUCCGUGAAGUUGGAUUCGCUAGUAAUCGCGCAUCAGCCAUGGCGCGGUGAAUACGUUCCCGGGCCUU